This 343-nucleotide ribosomal RNA is filed under the name uncultured Bacillus sp. RNAcentral describes it as "bacterial SSU rRNA". It matches the Rfam family "Bacterial small subunit ribosomal RNA", at positions 34 to 354 of the family's 1533-position model. Lineage: Bacteria; Bacillati; Bacillota; Bacilli; Caryophanales; Bacillaceae. The record is from RNAcentral.
CGGCCGCGUCGACGGCGGCGUGCCUAAUACAUGCAAGUCGAGCGGACCUUUUAAAAGCUUGCUUUUGAAAGGUCAGCGGCGGACGGGUGAGUAACACGUGGGCAACCUGCCUGUAAGACUGGGAUAACUUCGGGAAACCGGAGCUAAUACCGGAUAAUAUAAGGAACCUCCUGGUUCUUUAUUGAAAGAUGGUUUCGGCUAUCACUUACAGAUGGGCCCGCGGCGCAUUAGCUAGUUGGUGAGGUAACGGCUCACCAAGGCAACGAUGCGUAGCCGACCUGAGAGGGUGAUCGGCCACACUGGGACUGACGACACGGCCAGACUCCUACGGUCGACGCGGCCG